Molecule: ribosomal RNA, 535 nt
Filed under: Xylaria sp. FPL-52(S)
Lineage: Eukaryota; Fungi; Ascomycota; Sordariomycetes; Xylariales; Xylariaceae
Description: eukaryotic LSU rRNA
Rfam family: 5.8S ribosomal RNA (bases 204-357)
Source: RNAcentral
CGGAGGGAUCAUUAGAGAGUUAGUAUAACUCCAAAACCCAUGUGAACUUACCGUACGUUGCCUCGGCAGGUCGCGCUCACCCCGUAGUACCCUACCCGUUAGGGGGGGUCUACUCGGUGGCCGCGGAGUGAGCCUGCCGGUGGCCCAACCAAACUCUUGUCUUAGUAUUUGUAUCUCUGAACUUGAUAAAGGAAAUAAGUUAAAACUUUCAACAACGGAUCUCUUGGUUCUGGCAUCGAUGAAGAACGCAGCGAAAUGCGAUAAGUAAUGUGAAUUGCAGAAUUCAGUGAAUCAUCGAAUCUUUGAACGCACAUUGCGCCCAUUAGUAUUCUAGUGGGCAUGCCUGUUCGAGCGUCAUUUCAACCCUUAAGCCUUUGUUGCUUAGUGUUGGGAGCCUACAGCGAUGUAGCUCCUCAAAGUUAGUGGCGGAGUCGGUUACACACUCUAGGCGCAGUAAAUUCUUUUAUCUCGUCUACGGCUGUGGCCGGUCCCUUGCCGUAAAACACCCUAAUUCUCAAGGUGACCUCGGAUCAGG